CUGGCGGCAGGCCUAACACAUGCAAGUCGAACGCCCCGCAAGGGGAGUGGCAGACGGGUGAGUAACGCGUGGGAACGUGCCUUUCGGUUCGGAAUAGUCUCGGGAAACUGGGGUUAAUACCGGAUACGUCCUUCGGGAGAAAGAUUUAUCGCCGAAAGAUCGGCCCGCGUCUGAUUAGCUAGUUGGCGGGGUAAUGGCCCACCAAGGCGACGAUCAGUAGCUGGUCUGAGAGGAUGAUCAGCCACACUGGGACUGAGACACGGCCCAGACUCCUACGGGAGGCAGCAGUGGGGAAUAUUGGACAAUGGGCGCAAGCCUGAUCCAGCCAUGCCGCGUGAGUGAUGAAGGCCCUAGGGUUGUAAAGCUCUUUCGACGGGGACGAUAAUGACGGUACCCGUAGAAGAAGCCCCGGCUAACUUCGUGCCAGCAGCCGCGGUAAUACGAAGGGGGCUAGCGUUGUUCGGAAUCACUGGGCGUAAAGCGCACGCAGGCGGAUCGUUAAGUCAGGGGUGAAAUCCCGAGGCUCAACCUCGGAACUGCCUUUGAUACUGGCGAUCUUCGAGUCCGGGAGAGGUGAGUGGAACUCCGAGUGUAGAGGUGAAAUUCGUAGAUAUUCGGAAGAACACCAGUGGCGAAGGCGGCUCACUGGCCCGGUACUGACGCUCAGGUGCGAAAGCGUGGGGAGCAAA
RNAcentral lists this ribosomal RNA (689 nucleotides) under uncultured soil bacterium. Its description in RNAcentral is "bacterial SSU rRNA". It matches the Rfam family "Bacterial small subunit ribosomal RNA", at positions 36 to 772 of the family's 1533-position model. The record is from RNAcentral.